UAGGAACAUCAACAGCUGAGUGCACCAGCCUCCUAUACAUUGGGUGUUUGUUGUCCUUCCCUUUCUUGUUUAGAUCUAUAGCCCGCUCCUUCAUACGAGAGACUAUGAACCGCAGGUAUGUGCUCAUCUCUUGUUUACUUGUGUUUUUCUUCUUGAUGCUCCUGCAAACUGGGCACUGCCAGUGACUACUGCUGUCUCUAAGCCUGAACUCAUCAGACAAACACUUGGAAUGAUACACACGAAAACACAGGUCACAUAUCAACACCUCUCCAGGCAAAUGGCAUUCAAAACAAUACCAGUCAUGAUUUUCUGUUUCCCAGUCCUUGUUUUUUGCUGCUGUCUGGGAAAAAGGCUGCAUACCGUAGGCAAUCUCAUCUCCUGGCAACCAAUAUCCUUCUUGUUCAAUACCAGCCUUUGACCCUUUACACCCCACCGUCAAGGUUUCAACAAUAAGACCAUCCUUGACUGCUAAACUCAGCUGACGAGUGGUUUCUUUUGGAUGCAUACCAUGGACUCGAGACAUAUACUUUGUGAUACGGUCAAUGUUAGCAAUUUGCUUCUGAUUCCGGAUUAUUUCUAUUGCUGCCCAAAGAUGUUGGAUCGCCUUUGUAUCUGCCUGUCGUCUCUUCGUUAAGCGUGCCAUGACCUGUUUACUUGGUCAGCUUGUGCUGCUGCCGCUGCUUCUGCUGCUGCAGGGGGGGCGAAGUUAAGCCAAGGGAAACUUUUCAAUCCCUUCCCCAGGCCGCUGCUGCCUCCUCCUUCCACAUAUUUUUCCCCUCAGAGUUUUAUUGUGUCUGAAUUUUCUCUCUCUCUCUCCUCUUCUGUCUGUCCACAGUUCAGGUUUCUGGGGUAAACAGGGUUUAGGAUGGUGCUAGGGAUAUUUGGGAGAAGGAGAACUCUAGUGGUGUCUACUGGAG
Molecule: long non-coding RNA, 917 nt
Filed under: Gallus gallus (chicken)
Lineage: Eukaryota; Metazoa; Chordata; Aves; Galliformes; Phasianidae
Source: RNAcentral